GCUUCGUCGACCACCUUGACGGUCAGGUCGCACCGUUCGGAAUGCUUGGAGGCAGCCAUAAUUGAAUCCUUGGAAUUGGAAUUUCGCGGCAAUCGUACCACGCUCGCGCCAGCGAAACCAAGAAUUCGGACCGGAUUGCAGCCCCAAGGAAUGGGGUCUCCAUCAUUUUUCAAGAAAAAACGGCGUGAAGUGAACCAGUGAGGCUCCUGGACUACAAAAGGCGCGUU
RNAcentral lists this unclassified non-coding RNA (227 nucleotides) under Hevea brasiliensis (rubber tree). The record is from RNAcentral. Lineage: Eukaryota; Viridiplantae; Streptophyta; Magnoliopsida; Malpighiales; Euphorbiaceae.